GGACUACAAGGGUAUCUAAUCCCUUUUGCUCCCCACGCUUUCGUGCCUGAGCGUCAGCAAUUGUCCAGGUAGCCGCCUUCGCCUCUGGUAUUCCUCACGAUAUCUACGCAUUUCACUGCUACACCGUGAAUUCUGCUACCCUCUCCAAUGCUCUAGCCAUGUAGUUUGAGGUGCAAUUCCGGGGUUAAGCCCCGGGCUUUCACGCCUCACACACUUGGCCGCCUGCGCACCCUUUACGCCCAGUGAAUCCGAAUAACGCUUGCAGUCUCUGUAUUACCGCGGCGGCUGGCAC
Molecule: ribosomal RNA, 292 nt
Filed under: uncultured bacterium
Lineage: Bacteria
Also listed under: 1 other name
Description: partial 16S ribosomal RNA
Source: RNAcentral